Molecule: ribosomal RNA, 501 nt
Filed under: uncultured bacterium
Lineage: Bacteria
Description: partial 16S ribosomal RNA
Rfam family: Bacterial small subunit ribosomal RNA
Source: RNAcentral
AUUGAACGCUGGCGGCAUGCCUUACACAUGCAAGUCGAACGGCAGCACGGGUGCUUGCACCUGGUGGCGAGUGGCGAACGGGUGAGUAAUGUAUCGGAACGUACCUUAUUGUGGGGGAUAACGCAGCGAAAGCUGUGCUAAUACCGCAUAAUCCCUAAGGGGGAAAGCGGGGGACCGUAAGGCCUCGCGCAAUUAGAGCGGCCGAUACCUGAUUAGCUAGGUGGUGAGGUAAAGGCUCACCAAGGCAACGAUCAGUAGCUGGUCUGAGAGGACGAUCAGCCACACUGGGACUGAGACACGGCCCAGACUCCUACGGGAGGCAGCAGUGGGGAAUUUUGGACAAUGGGGGCAACCCUGAUCCAGCAAUGCCGCGUGAGUGAAGAAGGCCUUCGGGUUGUAAAGCUCUUUUGUCAGGGAAGAAACAGCAGCUCUAACACAGUUUGCGAAUGACGGUACCUGAAGAAUAAGCACCGGCUAACUACGUGCCAGCCGCCGCCGUAA